AGCUCGUCGGGCUCAUAACCCGAAGGUCGCGAGUUCAAAUCUCGCCCCCGCAACCA
This 56-nucleotide transfer RNA is filed under the name Synechococcales bacterium UBA10510. RNAcentral's name for it is "tRNA-Leu". It matches the Rfam family "tRNA", at positions 20 to 71 of the family's 71-position model. Rfam says of the family: Transfer RNA (tRNA) molecules are approximately 80 nucleotides in length. Their secondary structure includes four short double-helical elements and three loops (D, anti-codon, and T loops). Lineage: Bacteria; Bacillati; Cyanobacteriota; Cyanophyceae; Synechococcales. The record is from RNAcentral.